This 482-nucleotide ribosomal RNA is filed under the name uncultured bacterium. RNAcentral describes it as "partial 16S ribosomal RNA". It matches the Rfam family "Bacterial small subunit ribosomal RNA", at positions 28 to 507 of the family's 1533-position model. The record is from RNAcentral.
GACGAACGCUGGCGGCGUGCCUAACACAUGCAAGUCGAACGGAACUGUUUUGAAAGAUUUCUUCGGAAUGAAUUUGAUUUAGUUUAGUGGCGGACGGGUGAGUAACGCGUGAGUAACCUGCCUUCAAGAGGGGAAUAACAUUCUGAAAAGAAUGCUAAUACCGCAUGACAUAUCGGAACCACAUGGUUUUGAUAUCAAAGAUUUUAUCGCUUGAAGAUGGACUCGCGUCCGAUUAGUUAGUUGGUGAGGUAACGGCUCACCAAGACCGCGAUCGGUAGCCGGACUGAGAGGUUGAACGGCCACAUUGGGACUGAGACACGGCCCAGACUCCUACGGGAGGCAGCAGUGGGGGAUAUUGCGCAAUGGGGGCAACCCUGACGCAGCAACGCCGCGUGAAGGAUGAAGGUUUUCGGAUUGUAAACUUCUUUUAUUAAGGACGAAAAAUGACAGUACUUAAUGAAUAAGCUCCGGCUAACUACGUG